GGAUCAAGUGAUGAUUAUAAACUGCAACAAUAUGAUGGGAGUAAUACUCCUAUGAUUCCCAAGUAUUUAAGUCUCUGAUGAUC
Molecule: small nucleolar RNA, 83 nt
Organism: Panicum virgatum (switchgrass)
Lineage: Eukaryota; Viridiplantae; Streptophyta; Magnoliopsida; Poales; Poaceae
Product: small nucleolar RNA Z199
Exons: 1
Source: RefSeq, a predicted model, not a curated record